Long non-coding RNA from Glossina fuscipes, 691 nucleotides. RefSeq lists it as uncharacterized. The record is from RefSeq and is a predicted model, not a curated record. The transcript has 4 exons. Lineage: Eukaryota; Metazoa; Arthropoda; Insecta; Diptera; Glossinidae.
CAUUUGUAGAAAUCUAUAAAGCUGUGACAUAUUAACAAUACGUCAUAAUUAUUUGAUAUUUGAUUUCAAGAGUAGAGAACUGUUCGCGGUUGUAAAAGUCAAUAAAUAUCAAUUUUCAAAUUUAUAUGUCGAGGCAAACUAUACAAUUACAAGACCGCAUGGUGCCGUGUGCGCGAAAGCUAGAAUGUAAAUAUAAUAGAAAACUGAUAGACUUUAGCUUUGUGGUUUCGUUAUACGAAGAGAAAAUAAAUGCUUAUUAAAAGCAAAAAGCCAAAGAUAUUUACGAUACCGUUUACAGGGCAAUGCUUAAACAAUACUAGAAAUUUCAUUAUCUUAAACCGGCUACUGCCAAAGAUGAGAGUGUAUUGAUUUAAUUUGCUGUUCUCAGCGUUGCUGUGGAAAAUUUUUGACUUUAUUAAAAAAUAGAAAAACUACAACGUCGCCGUUCCCUGCGCGCGUAUAUUAUAAAGAAUAGAACAACGUAUGCUACAGUAGACUCGCAAGCGUAGUGUAUCGUAUGCAGCCAUUAUUGCUUCUAUUGCUUUUGUUGUAAUAUCUGUCUGCACGAAAGGAUAUUGUAUUUAACCGCUCUCAAACAACCCGCUCGGCAAUAUUACAUUAUGCGUUAAAAUGCGCCUUAUGUAACUGCAUAAGCUUAGCGAAUGUUAAAAUCGACAUAAGGCAACAAUUG